Molecule: unclassified non-coding RNA, 329 nt
Filed under: soil metagenome
Description: partial contains 5.8S ribosomal RNA, internal transcribed spacer 2, and large subunit ribosomal RNA
Rfam family: 5.8S ribosomal RNA (bases 1-120)
Source: RNAcentral
GAUGAAGAACGUAGCGAAAUGCGAUAAGUAAUGUGAAUUGCAGAAUUCAGUGAAUCAUCGAAUCUUUGAACGCACAUUGCGCCCCUUGGUAUUCCGAGGGGCAUGCCUGUUCGAGCGUCAUUAUAACCCCUCAAGCUCAGCUUGGUGUUGGGGCCUGCUGCACUGGCAGCCCUUAAAAUCAGUGGCGGCGCCAUCUGGCUCUAAGCGUAGUAAUUCUUCUCGCUAUGGAGUCCUGGUGGAUGCUUGCCAUCAACCCCCAAUUUUUCUAUGGUUGACCUCGGAUCAGGUAGGGAUACCCGCUGAGCUUAAGCAUAUCAAUAAGCGGAGGA